AGGAAGGAUUUAAAUAGCAGCACAGAAAUAAUAGAAGACACAGCCCAACAGCUUUGGCUUGAAUUACAACUCUCCUAUAACUGAUAUAAAGUCUUCUUU
Molecule: microRNA precursor, 99 nt
Filed under: Mus pahari (shrew mouse)
Lineage: Eukaryota; Metazoa; Chordata; Mammalia; Rodentia; Muridae
Description: microRNA 195b (MGP_PahariEiJ_G0007334.1)
Source: RNAcentral